AAGGAUCAUUCACAAUAAGUGUUUAAUGGCACUUUAAAAUCCAUUACCCACCUUGUGUGCACUGUAGGGAAGGGGCAGAACCGGUGCGCCACACAUGUUGUGUGCUUGCUGGCCUGCCUCUUUCAUUAUACACAUACUAUCUUCAUUCUCGUCUACUUCAAUUGAGUAUAAAACUCUAAUACAACUUUCAACAACGGAUCUCUUGGCUCUC
Molecule: unclassified non-coding RNA, 211 nt
Filed under: uncultured fungus
Lineage: Eukaryota; Fungi
Description: partial contains 18S rRNA, ITS1, 5.8S rRNA, ITS2 and 28S rRNA
Source: RNAcentral